RNAcentral lists this ribosomal RNA (124 nucleotides) under Panthera tigris altaica (Amur tiger). The record is from RNAcentral. Lineage: Eukaryota; Metazoa; Chordata; Mammalia; Carnivora; Felidae.
ACAGCCAUACCACCCUGGAUGUGCCUGAUCUUGUCUGACCUCGAAAGCUAAGCAGUGUUGGGCCUGGUUAGUACUUGGGAGUAUGUUCCUGUCUUUGCUAACCAAAAAAAAUUCGAGAAGUGUU